GCAAGAUCCUCUGCACACAUGGCCCAACGGCUAUAUCUCAACUUAAGCCUUUCUCUUUGGGCAAACAAGCAGAACUGAUUCUUGAGAUUGGAAGGGACAUUGGGCUUUAUUUUGACGGAUAAUCACUCAUUUUGCGAAGCAAAUUGCUCAUUACGCUGCUGUUCUCCAAAGUUGCAAUUAAGGGCUUGUCGAGAGACUUGAGGGAACUUUUCCCCUUCCUAAUCUGAAAGAGCUAUGGUAUUCUAUCUUUGUUUUCAUGGAAUUGCAGGGGUCUUGGGGUGCGAAGACGAAGUCCCACCUUAGGAGUCUCAUAACCAAGCACAAGUUGAUAGUGGCUAUUCAGGAAACUAAAGCUGAUACGGUGUCCUUCUCUGUGAUUCGAAGGGUUUGGGGAAUAGGUAAUUUGGUUUCGUCCGUUGCCAAGGAUGAAGGUCUUUCUGGUGGGUAGCUGUGUCUAUAGAAGGUGUGUUAUUAAUGGUUAUAUGGAACAAGGACCCAAUCCUAGUAAAGAGUAGCUGUGUCUAUAGAAGGUGGAUUCAUCUAAUAGGAAAUUCUAUGAAACGAUAUUGCUUCCGAAAAUGGUUCGUGCUUAAUCAAAUUCUAAAAUAUUUCGAGAGAAAGAGUGGGCAGUACUCCUCUGCUGGUAUGUCUAAUUCCUGCUCCUUUGUAAAUAAUUUGAAUCUUAAUGAGGUGCUAUUGAGUGGAAAGAUGUUUACAUGGCAUGAGCUCUAUUAAUGUUUACAUGGCAUGAGCUCUGUUGAUAUGGCUUUAGUCUCUUUUCAAUGAAAUGAAAAAUUUUGGAGACUGACUAACGAGGUUGAUUGGGCCCCCAAACCAAUCAGAUUCUUGAAUAUUUAGUAGACCUGGCCUGAAUUUAUGGAUAUUUUGAAGGUUAUUGGAGUGAGAUCUCAACUCAACUCAAUGAAAUAUCACUGUUUUAUUGAUUACAGAGGCUGAAGAUUAUAAAUUUAAAAUUUAAAAACAUAACAGAAAAUUCAAAAAAAAUAUGAUAGAAGUUGUUGGCAAUGUCUUUUUAAUUUUAUUGUAUAUAAUCUUUAUCUUCUCUACUCCUUAUCUACAGCAAAUGAGGCAUCUUCAACACUCCUUCUUGCGUCUCUUAUUGCGGUUUUGAAUUUGUCAUCAAGCAUCUCUAUGUUUUAUUGAUCAUAGAGGCCUUUAUAUAAUGAAAUUUCUUUCAAUAAUAUACUGAAGAUUAUAAAUUUAAAAACAUAACAGAAAAUUCAAAAAACAUGAUAGAAGUUGUUGGCAGCAUCUUUUCAAUUUUAAUAUAGAUAAUUUUUAUUUCUUUCAAGAUCUUAUCUGCAGCAGAUGAGGCAUUUUCAGUACUUCUUGCAUCUUUUGUUGUGGUUUUGAAUUCAUCACCAAGCAUCUUCAUUUUUCAGCUUCUCUUUGCCAGUCUCUUUAUCAUCUUUUUCUUUUUAUGAUUGUUAAAGUUUUGAGACAUGUUGGUCUCUUCAUCAUUUUUCUAUAGUUUAUGGACAUACUUAGGUCCCUUGGCUUGAUUUUGUUUUGUUGGAGGUGCUUGGCUUGUUUUUUUUCGUGUUUGGUUUUGUUAUUUUUGGAGAAAACCUUCUUGUUCCAUGUUAUGUUUCUUUCCAUGCUGUAAUCCUACCUUUGGCUUGCAGGCUUUUAUUUUUCUCUUUUAUUUAGGGCUGAUACCAUUGUUGGUUUUUUUUAAGAAAUGAUGUAGGAGCAUAUAUGAGACUAAAAAUGGUCUAUGUUUUAUUGAUUCUAGAGUCAUUUAUAUAAUGACAUUUCUUUCAAUAAUCUGCUGAAGAUUAUAAACUUGAAAUUUAAAAACAUAACAAAAAAUUUAAAAAACAUUACAGAAGUUGUUGGCAAUAUCUUUUCAAUUUUAUUGUAAGUAAUCUUAUCUUCUUUCAACUUCUUAUUUGUAGUUAAUAUCCUUAUUAGUGUUGCUAAGAAAAUUGAGAAAUUAAUAAGAAAAUCCUUAUCAAAUUGGAUAGUGUAUAUUAAAAUUGGUAGGAGUUAGAACUUGCUGUGGAAUAUAAAUGACUUGGAAAUUGAUUUCUAUAGCUUUGAAAAUGUUCAUGGUAAUUGAUGUUGGAUUGUAAUUUUGAUAAUUAUGCUGAUAGUUAUUUAUUUAUUUAAUAAAUGAAUAAGCAACAAAAACUUGAAAAAUAUUGUACAAAUGAGUUUUCAGUUUGUUAUGGUUAUAUUGUCGAUAUGAAUAUUUUUUGCUGUGGUUAUUAUUUUAAGUGCCCAUUUGUACCUAACUAAAUAUAUUCUUGGAGAUUGUAAGUUUGCAAGAACGUCUUCUUUAUCCAAUUGAAGUGUUCGCUUUUAAAUGUGGUUAGUUUGAUUUAUCUGUCCCAUUAUUGAGCUUCUUUUGAUUUUAUAAGCAUAUAUGAUAACCACAGCAACCCAGGUAUUAGCUAGUUCGAGUAUAAAAAUCAGUUGCAUAAUGUGUCUUUAACCCAUAUCGUUCGUGAAGCCAACUUGAUAGCUGAUGGUUUAGCCAAACAAGGAUUAAUCGUGAUUAAAGCUUUGUUGCUAUUCUCUGAUUUCAUUAUGCCAUUGGGCCGCUCUUUUUAGUUUAGUCAAGUGUAGAAGGCCUGGUCAAGUGUAAUCCGUAUUACUUCAGUGUGAUGAUCUGUCCAUGGAACAUGGUUUUUCUUUAACCUAUCAUGCAAGGGUUUUGCUAGAUGGUUAAUAUUUGGACAAAAAUCUAAGAUAUAAUUUAAGUUACCUAAGAAUUUCUGUAGCUCGGUUUUAUCCAAGAUUUUAUCAGGAAAUUUGUUUGAAAAUUCUCGACUUUUUUCUAUUGGAGUAAUGGUUCCUUGGGAUAUGUAAUAGCCUAGAAACGUAACCCUGUUUUGGAAGAGAGAAAUCUUUGAUUUUGAAACGGCAAGGCCAUUUCAUUUUGUAACAGAGAAGAAUGUUCUUAAGUGUUUGAAGUGUUGUUCAAUUGACUCUGAGAACACAAGAACAUCAUCUAUAUAGACUAUGCAAAUUUUGAAUAUAGAUUAAAAAUUUCAUUCAUAAUUCUCUGGAACUCUGAUGGGGUAUUUUUCAAGCCAAAAGGCAUGACUUUUCACUCAUACUAUCUAAAGGAAACUGUGAAUGCGAUUUUGUAUUUAUCUUUUGGAUCAAUUUGUAUUUGCUAAAAUCCUGAUUUCAUAUCAAAUUUGAAAAAUACAAAUGCAGAAUGAAGUUUUUGUAAAAGAUCUUUUUUGUUUGGAAUUGGAUACCUGAUCCAUUUCAAAGCUUUAUUCAGAGGUUUGUAAUUAAUUACUAAUCUAGGAGUGCCUCUUUUUAUUUCUGAAUUUUUAUUUAUAUAAAAAGAGAUGAUAGAGAUGAGGAAAUUUUGUAUGCAGGUAGAAGUAAUGGAUUAUUUGUUGUAGCUCUCCAUUUGCUAAUACUUCUUGAUGUGUUGAAAUGAUUUAUAUGUUGAUUGGUUUUAGGCGAAAUAAUAGUCUUCUGACUUCUUAGAGGACUCGAUUUCUCAAAAACCUUGUCAUUUCACAAUCAGAUUUUGUAACUCGGACUCCAGUUAACAUUCCUCAUUUGAAUAAUUCUCGUGCGUCUAGAUAUCGAGUUUCAGAUAUCUGCGCUGUUUUGAAGCGAGAGAUGUUGAAAUCUAAGCUGUGCUCACAAUCUGGAUAGACGAGAGUAAUUCAGUUAGGAUGUUCUUGAGUGCAGUGAAAGUGAGGUUUUGAAUAGAACUCCCAUUCCCAUGACCAUCCAUUGUGAUUCUGCUGAUUGUUUUUUGUAAAAUUGAGACAUUUUUGAAAACAUCCAGUUGUUCCUUGGUUCUGGACUGGAUGAUGUUUUGUAGGAUUUUCUCGUGGAUCUCCUGAGGAAGACCGUUAAGAACUUGUUGCCUGAAUUUCUUCGAAAGACAACGAGUUUGAAAAUGAUCAUAACGAACUGGCUCUGCUGUCUAUUGAGUAUAUAUAUAUAUAUAUAUAGAAAUUUAAUUUUUAGUUGUAUAUAUAUAUUCAUAAUGGACGUCAAGUGUAGAAGGCUUGGUUUCAGUUAGUGUUUCUGCUAUUUUGUCAGGGUACCACAUGUUUCUUGUUGUGCUGCAUUGCAUGUGUUGUUAUGUCUUCUGUUUUGCAGUGUAAUUCAGGACUUUUGGUUUUUGUUUUCAUUCGUGUUUUGUUCUCUUGUUCCAGAUUUUUUCAUUUAGCAUUUCAGUUUUUAAGUUUAGUGUAUUGGGUGGUCUAUCAGGGCUUAAAUUGCUAAGUUUUUUCUAGUUUAUUUUCAUUAUUAAUGUAAUUUUUGCUUAAAAAAAAAGGAAAUUCCCAUUAUUACUUACUUAGACUCACCUUGUUGGAUGCAUUUUUUUUUUCAUUAAAUCAACUGCAAUUGACCUAAUUUAUUUUAAUAUAUACAUAUCCUUACUAGCCAUAGUCUAUUUUCAGUUUCUCUAAAAACCCUCAACAACCUAUAAUUAUUGUUGCAUUCUUGUAACAAAAUACUUCUUACAUUUUUUGAAAGUAUAUCCUUCUAAAACUAUUACCCAAAGAAUUAAAAAAAAAAAAAAAGUCUAAGUACACUUUAGUACCCUGUAUUUUGGCCUUUUUAGCAUUGAGAACAUAUAUUUUGUUUUAUGUCAAUUAAAGACAGGAACUUUGACUUCAUUUUUACGAGAGGACAAAUUGCUAAUGGUGUUAAAUAACACUGAUAUGGCGUUAUGCAUGCCACUUCAAUGCCACAUCACUCUACGUCAUGCAUGGGUGCCAAGUCAGCAUGCCAUGUCAUGAAAUUUUAUGCCAUCGCUCAUUUUGUCAUCUAAGUGUAAAAAGGUGAAAGUACAUGUUCUAAAUUGUAAAAAUAUGAAAGUACGUGUCCUAAAUUAAAAAAAAUAAAAAUAUAAAGUUAAAGUCAUAAAUGCUAAAAGCGUAAAAAUUUUGAGAGUACAUGAAAAAAUAAGGAAAGAGAGAGGUGGAGUGAGAGAGAGAGAGAGAAUGAAAGGUAUGGGGAAAGAUAGAGAUAAAUUGACUCUUUCAUGUCUCUCUCUUCAUCUUUCCCUCUCUCUCUUUCUCUCACUGUAUCUCCCUUUCUCUAUCUCUUUCUUUCUCUCUCUCUUUAUCUUUCUAUCCCCCAUUCUUCUCUCUCUUUCCUUAUUUUUCCAUGUACAUUUAAAAGCGUGAAAGUUUUAAAUAGUGAAAGAAAGAGAAAGAGACAAAUAGGAAGAGAGAAAGGGAGAGAUAUGGAAAGAAAGGUAGACAUAGUGAGUGUCAAUCUGUCUUUAUCUCUCUCCAUAUCUUUCAUUCUCUCUCUCACCCUCUCUCUUAUUAUCUUUCAUUAUCUCUCUUUCUUUUUUCUUAUUUUGUACUUUCAAAAUUUUUGUACGUUUUUCUUAUUUUGUACUUUCAAAAUUUUUACACUUUUAGCAUUUAAAGCUUAAACUUUUUUUUUGGGUAAUUUAGGAUAUGUACUUUCAUAUUUUUGUAACAUAAGACAUGUACUUUCACUUUCUCUCUCUCUCUCUCUCUCUCUCUCUCUCUCUCUCCCAUUCCUCUCUCUCUUUCCUUAUUUUUUCAUGUACAUUUAAAAGCGCGAAAGUUUUAAAUAGUGAAAGAGAGAGAAAGAGACAAAUAGGAAGAGAGAAAGGGAGAAAUAUGGAGAGAGAGGGAGACAUAGUGAGUGUCAUUUUGUCUUUAUCUCUCUCCAUAUCUCUCUCUCUCUCUCUCUCUCUCUCUCUCUCUCUCUUAUUAUCUUUCAUUAUCUCUUUAUCUUUUUCCUUAUUUUGUACUUUCAAAAUUUUUAUACUUGUAGCAUUUAGAGCUUAAACUUUUUUUUUUUUUUGGUAAUUUAGGAUAUGUAUUUUCACAUUUUUGUAAUUUAAGACAUGUACUUUCACCUUUUUACAUUUACGUGAUAAAAUAAAUUAUAGUAUAAAAUUCGAUGAUGUGACAUGCAGAUGUGUCACUCUUGUAUGAUGUGGCAUUGAUGUGACAUGCCACGUCAUCACCAUAUCAUGCAUGGUGCUACAUCAUACAUAGGUGCCGCAUCAGCGUCAUUUAACGCCGUUAGCAAUUUGUUCUUAUUGUGAAAAUGGGGUCAAAGUUUCUGUCCUUAAUUGAUACAAAACAAAGUACAUGCCUCCUGACGCAGCGUGCAAUGCAAAAAAGGAUCGACACACGUUCAAACACUUGAAAAUAAAUAAGAUCUAAUCCAAGAUCUUAAGAAACACAUGAUUCAAUCCAUAAUCUAAAGAUAAAACAAAACAAAUAUAGCUUUAUGAAGAAAAAUACUUUAUUAAAUAAAUCUUGAAACUUGUACAUGAUUGAAAUAUAAUGGGUAUUUAUAGAGUUUUAAAUCCUAAUAUAGAUAGAAAUGAAUUAAAGAGACUUAAUUUAAAUAGAAAACAUAUUUAAAAUACCUAAAUUAAAUAAAAGUUGUAUUUUAUAAUUCUAAAUAUAUUAAGAAAUAUAAAUAAAAUUUAUCUAGUAAAAUAAAGAAUCUUAUUAGAAUUACGAAUGCUCGUAGAAAUAAGAAAACACAAGUAUUUGGGUCUGGCAUAGAUUUGUGCACCGUGUCACCUUCGAUGCCAAAAAGGCCAAAGUAUAGGGUAAUAAAUUGUGGUUUCCCCCUAAAAAAUUAAGAAACUUCAUUCUAGAGCAGAAAGAAGAGACUCCGAAGUGUGAUGAUCACUGUAGCAGAAUGGAUGAUCUAAUUCCAUUGCAUAUUCCUCUUUUAUUUUCCCACUGUCAUCAAGUCCUGGGCUGACAUCUCCAUAGAUUUUUUCUGGUUUGUGGAUCCUUUCCUCCAUCAAGAAGUAGUCAUCUGAGGCCAAGAACUCGUAUUCUUUAUUGAUUUGAUCACUAUAGUUAGAAUUAGACCUUUUGCAUUUCCUAAAGCCCAAGUCUUUGAAAUUCUCAUCAGGUGAAAGGGAUCGAUGGGGGAAGCUACCAUACCCUUGAAUCCCUCGUGUUAACUUACGAACUCUUGCCCUUUCUUCUAUCUGAAAUUGCUCAUUUUCCAGCAACUUCAGUAUUCUUGCUGAUAAGUUUGUAACACACAAGCCCCAGUUGAAUCUGCAUUUGAAACCAGAUGAUUAAUUAAUUAAAGAUACAUACUCUUAACAAUAAAAAUUUGAAUGGCACAACCAAGGAAGAUAUGCUCAUAUGUCCUAAACCAACCCUUUCUCGUCAACAAAUUGAAAGCUUUCCAAAUUCUUAAUGACUUCUUUAUCUCUCUGAAAUUCUUCAGCAACUCUUAAAGGACCAUGGGUUAGAAGGUGUUCUAAUAGAAGUAGAGUCUUGUAGGUAACCCGCCAAGUUUUUCUUUCGAACUUCGUCAACCUAAAAAGCAACAGAAACAGAAGAUUAAAUCUUUAAUUCAGGUCACAGCUAUAUAUGUUGGUUCAAAUAGCUAAACCAGAUCCAAAUAAAAGAAACCUGUUAUGUAGAAUGUCAACAAUUCUCCAAUAAUCAUCAACUUCAAAGGCAGCUCUUGAAAUUACACCCAUAGUACGUGUAUCCGGUGCCCGAAAUUCUCCAUUUGUAGCUUCUUCUGUCAGUCUUUAAAAAUCAAUAGAAGAUAAGAACUUGUUCGGUUUUGAAUUAUUGAUGUAAAAAUCCAAACUUACAGUUCUGCGGGUGUAACAUCUGUUAGUGCCAAGCGAGCAGUCUUGAUCUUCUCCUUCAAGAAGAAAGAAGCUUGCCUCUUGAAUUCAUGUAAAAAAGGGUUUCCCAUCUUGUUGGUUCUGUGUGAAAGCAUCAAAUAUGUUGUUUACUCUGAGAAGUGAUGAAAUGAUUUACUCGGUUUCUCUCUAGUUUGUAGUUCUUAUCAAAUGUACUGUGUAUGUAUUUAUGAGAGGGAAUUAUUUGCUUAUGUCAUGGGAAUUUUAAGUGGAUUAUUUUUGUGACA
Hevea brasiliensis (rubber tree) is the source of this 7866-nucleotide long non-coding RNA. RefSeq lists it as uncharacterized. The transcript is spliced from 2 exons. The record is from RefSeq and is a predicted model, not a curated record. NCBI's taxonomy places the organism in Eukaryota, Viridiplantae, Streptophyta, Magnoliopsida, Malpighiales, Euphorbiaceae.